CCCCGGCGAGGGGAGUGAAAAAGAACCUGAAACCGUGUACGUACAAGCAGUGGGAGCACGCUUAGGCGUGUGACUGCGUACCUUUUGUAUAAUGGGUCAGCGACUUAUAUUCUGUAGCAAGGUUAACCGAAUAGGGGAGCCGAAGGGAAACCGAGUCUUAACUGGGCGUUAAGUUGCAGGGUAUAGACCCGAAACCCGGUGAUCUAGCCAUGGGCAGGUUGAAGGUUGGGUAACACUAACUGGAGGACCGAACCGACUAAUGUUGAAAAAUUAGCGGAUGACUUGUGGCUGGGGGUGAAAGGCCAAUCAAACCGGGAGAUAGCUGGUUCUCCCCGAAAGCUAUUUAGGUAGCGCCUCGUGAAUUCAUCUCCGGGGGUAGAGCACUGUUUCGGCAAGGGGGUCAUCCCGA
RNAcentral lists this ribosomal RNA (409 nucleotides) under Escherichia coli. Its description in RNAcentral is "partial 23S ribosomal RNA". It matches the Rfam family "Bacterial large subunit ribosomal RNA", at positions 524 to 934 of the family's 2925-position model. The record is from RNAcentral. Lineage: Bacteria; Pseudomonadati; Pseudomonadota; Gammaproteobacteria; Enterobacterales; Enterobacteriaceae.